ACACAUGCAAGUCGAACGGUAACAGGGUGCUUGCACCGCUGACGAGUGGCGAACGGGUGAGUAAUGCAUCGGAAUGUACCGUGUAAUGGGGGAUAGCUCGGCGAAAGCCGGAUUAAUACCGCAUACGCCCUGAGGGGGAAAGUGGGGGACCGAAAGGCCUCACGUUAUACGAGCAGCCGAUGUCUGAUUAGCUAGUUGGUGAGGUAAAGGCUCACCAAGGCGUCGAUCAGUAGCGGGUCUGAGAGGAUGAUCCGCCACACUGGGACUGAGACACGGCCCAGACUCCUACGGGAGGCAGCAGUGGGGAAUUUUGGACAAUGGGCGCAAGCCUGAUCCAGCCAUGCCGCGUGUCUGAAGAAGGCCUUCGGGUUGUAAAGGACUUUUGUCCGGGAGCAAAUCCUAGUGGUUAAUAACCGCUGGGUCUGAGAGUACCGGAAGAAUAAGCACCGGCUAACUACGUGCCAGCAGCCGCGGUAAUACGUAGGUGCAAGCGUUAAUCGGAAUUACUGGGC
RNAcentral lists this ribosomal RNA (512 nucleotides) under Chromobacterium sp. PA2. RNAcentral describes it as "bacterial SSU rRNA". It matches the Rfam family "Bacterial small subunit ribosomal RNA", at positions 51 to 559 of the family's 1533-position model. The record is from RNAcentral. Lineage: Bacteria; Pseudomonadati; Pseudomonadota; Betaproteobacteria; Neisseriales; Chromobacteriaceae.